This 497-nucleotide ribosomal RNA is filed under the name uncultured bacterium. RNAcentral's name for it is "partial 16S ribosomal RNA". It matches the Rfam family "Bacterial small subunit ribosomal RNA", at positions 28 to 507 of the family's 1533-position model. The record is from RNAcentral.
GAUGAACGCUGGCGGCGUGCCUAAUACAUGCAAGUCGAGCGAACAGACGAGGCGCUUGCUCCUCUGACGUUAGCGGCGGACGGGUGAGUCACACGUGGAUAACCUACCUAUAAGACUGGGAUAACUUCGGGAAACCGGAGCUAAUACCGGAUAAUAUAUUGAACCGCAUGGUUCAAUAGUGAAAGACGGUUUUGCUGUCACUUAUAGAUGGAUCCGCGCCGCAUUAGCUAGUUGGUAAGGUAACGGCUUACCAAGGCAACGAUGCGUAGCCGACCUGAGAGGGUGAUCGGCCACACUGGAACUGAGACACGGUCCAGACUCCUACGGGAGGCAGCAGUAGGGAAUCUUCCGCAAUGGGCGAAAGCCUGACGGAGCAACGCCGCGUGAGUGAUGAAGGUCUUCGGAUCGUAAAACUCUGUUAUUAGGGAAGAACAAAUGUGUAAGUAACUAUGCACGUCUUGACGGUACCUAAUCAGAAAGCCACGGCUAACUACGUG